AAAAGCAUAGCUCUACUGGUUCAGAGCAUCCCGACCUAUAAGUCGGGAGGGUCCGCGGUUCGAACCCGUGUGCUUCCA
This 78-nucleotide transfer RNA is filed under the name Bacteroidota bacterium. Its description in RNAcentral is "Bacteroidetes bacterium (activated sludge metagenome) tRNA-OTHER". It matches the Rfam family "tRNA". Rfam says of the family: Transfer RNA (tRNA) molecules are approximately 80 nucleotides in length. Their secondary structure includes four short double-helical elements and three loops (D, anti-codon, and T loops). Further hydrogen bonds mediate the characteristic L-shaped molecular structure. tRNAs have two regions of fundamental functional importance: the anti-codon, which is responsible for specific mRNA codon recognition, and the 3' end, to which the tRNAs corresponding amino acid is attached (by aminoacyl-tRNA synthetases). tRNAs cope with the degeneracy of the genetic code in two manners: having more than one tRNA (with a specific anti-codon) for a particular amino acid; and 'wobble' base-pairing, i.e. permitting non-standard base-pairing at the 3rd anti-codon position. The record is from RNAcentral. Lineage: Bacteria; Pseudomonadati; Bacteroidota.